UAGUGGCGAACGGGUGAGUAACACGUGAGUAACCUGCCCCUGACUCUGGGAUAAGCGUUGGAAACGACGUCUAAUACUGGAUAUGAUCACUGGCCGCAUGGUCUGGUGGUGGAAAGAUUUUUUGGUUGGGGAUGGACUCGCGGCCUAUCAGCUUGUUGGUGAGGUAAUGGCUCACCAAGGCGACGACGGGUAGCCGGCCUGAGAGGGUGACCGGCCACACUGGGACUGAGACACGGCCCAGACUCCUACGGGAGGCAGCAGUGGGGAAUAUUGCACAAUGGGCGAAAGCCUGAUGCAGCAACGCCGCGUGAGGGAUGACGGCCUUCGGGUUGUAAACCUCUUUUAGUAGGGAAGAAGCGAAAGUGACGGUACCUGCAGAAAAAGCACCGGCUAACUACGUGCCAGCAGCCGCGGUAAUACGUAGGGUGCAAGCGUUGUCCGGAAUUAUUGGGCGUAAAGAGCUCGUAGGCGGUUUGUCGCGUCUGCUGUGAAAUCCCGAGGCUCAACCUCGGGCUUGCAGUGGGUACGGGCAGACUAGAGUGCGGUAGGGGAGAUUGGAAUUCCUGGUGUAGCGGUGGAAUGCGCAGAUAUCAGGAGGAACACCGAUGGCGAAGGCAGAUCUCUGGGCCGUAACUGACGCUGAGGAGCGAAAGCAUGGGGAGCGAACAGGAUUAGAUACCCUGGUAGUCCAUGCCGUAAACGUUGGGCGCUAGAUGUAGGGACCUUUCCACGGUUUCUGUGUCGUAGCUAACGCAUUAAGCGCCCCGCCUGGGGAGUACGGCCGCAAGGCUAAAACUCAAAGGAAUUGACGGGGGCCCGCACAAGCGGCGGAGCAUGCGGAUUAAUUCGAUGCAACGCGAAGAACCUUACCAAGGCUUGACAUACACCGGAAACGGCCAGAGAUGGUCGCCCCCUUGUGGUCGGUGUACAGGUGGUGCAUGGUUGUCGUCAGCUCGUGUCGUGAGAUGUUGGGUUAAGUCCCGCAACGAGCGCAACCCUCGUUCUAUGUUGCCAGCGGGUUAUGCCGGGGACUCAUAGGAGACUGCCGGGGUCAACUCGGAGGAAGGUGGGGAUGACGUCAAAUCAUCAUGCCCCUUAUGUCUUGGGCUUCACGCAUGCUACAAUGGCCGGUACAAAGGGCUGCGAUACCGUAAGGUGGAGCGAAUCCCAAAAAGCCGGUCUCAGUUCGGAUUGAGGUCUGCAACUCGACCUCA
This 1214-nucleotide ribosomal RNA is filed under the name Curtobacterium sp. Ku1409-8-8. Its description in RNAcentral is "bacterial SSU rRNA". It matches the Rfam family "Bacterial small subunit ribosomal RNA", at positions 93 to 1320 of the family's 1533-position model. Lineage: Bacteria; Bacillati; Actinomycetota; Actinomycetes; Micrococcales; Microbacteriaceae. The record is from RNAcentral.